CAGCUAUUGUAGUGGCUUCAUCUCAGAGAGAAACACAGCUAGGUCAAAGUCCCACAGAGGAAACUUUGAAAGUCCUCCUUAAAACUCCAUUUUCCUCUUAGCAUAAACAUUUUGUGGUUUGUCUUUUACAUUUAUUGCAUUUACUGUCAGCCAGUUUUACCCUGUUGUUCAGCUGAUUUCUUUAUUUGCUCAGACAUUCUAUGCACUGAAUGUUGCCUUGAUUAUUUAUCUUUGCAUGUAGCUUGUACAGCACCAUGGCAACCAGAGAUUUCGAAAUGUGUUUUAUGAAUAAAGUGAGUGAAGAUACACAAUAACAGCUUAGCUCGUUAUUGUGCGUUAGUCAUCUAACUUUGAGUUGAGUUGAGGCUGAGGUAGAAGGAAUCCAGAUGAAGGUCGGUUCUGAGUGUGGUUGCCAUGCUGUCUUUCUGAGGAUGGCUGUGAGCAGAGACAUCCUGACAAACUGUUCAGCAAACAGGAAGUGAUAGGGGACGCCCAGUAUUAGAGGCAUUUCCCCACCCUCCAGAAUCAAGAAGAACAUUUCCUGUUCUACACAACUUAAAGCAAUUAUUAGAAAUGUAGCUUUUGAAGCUACAACAAUCA
Gambusia affinis (western mosquitofish) is the source of this 600-nucleotide long non-coding RNA. RefSeq lists it as uncharacterized. The record is from RefSeq and is a predicted model, not a curated record. NCBI's taxonomy places the organism in Eukaryota, Metazoa, Chordata, Actinopteri, Cyprinodontiformes, Poeciliidae. The transcript has 2 exons.